RNAcentral lists this ribosomal RNA (254 nucleotides) under uncultured bacterium. RNAcentral's name for it is "partial 16S ribosomal RNA". It matches the Rfam family "Bacterial small subunit ribosomal RNA", at positions 524 to 776 of the family's 1533-position model. The record is from RNAcentral.
CACGUAGGGUGCGAGCGUUGUCCGGAAUUAUUGGGCGUAAAGAGCUCGUAGGCGGUGUGUCGCGUCGGCCGUGAAAACCUGCAGCUUAACUGUGGGCUUGCGGUCGAUACGGGCAUCACUGGAGUUCGGCAGGGGAGACUGGAAUUCCUGGUGUAGCGGUGAAAUGCGCAGAUAUCAGGAGGAACACCGGUGGCGAAGGCGGAUCUCUGGGCCUUGCCUGACGCUGAGGCGCGAAAGCUAGGGGAGCGAACAGG